Molecule: ribosomal RNA, 253 nt
Filed under: uncultured bacterium
Lineage: Bacteria
Description: partial 16S ribosomal RNA
Rfam family: Bacterial small subunit ribosomal RNA
Source: RNAcentral
UACGUAGGGGGCUAGCGUUGUCCGGAUUUAUUGGGCGUAAAGAGCGUGUAGGCGGCCAGGUAGGUCUGCUGUGAAAACUCGAGGCUCAACCUCGAGACGUCGGCGGAAACCAUCUGGCUAGAGUCCGGAAGAGGAGAGUGGAAUUCCUGGUGUAGCGGUGAAAUGCGCAGAUAUCAGGAAGAACACCGGUGGCGAAGGCGGCAUCCUGGACCGGUACUGACGCUGAGGCGCGAAAGCCAGGGGAGCAAACAGG